GACGAACGCUGGCGGCGUGCUUAACACAUGCGAGUCGAACGGAAAGGCCCUGCUUUUGUGGGGUGCUCGAGUGGCGAACGGGUGAGUAACACGUGAGUAACCUGCCCUUGACUUUGGGAUAACUUCAGGAAACUGGGGCUAAUGCCGGAUAGGAGCUCCUGCUGCAUGGUGGGGGUUGGAAAGUUUCGGCGGUUGGGGAUGGACUCGCGGCUUAUCAGCUUGUUGGUGGGGUAGUGGCUUACCAAGGCUUUGACGGGUAGCCGGCCUGAGAGGGUGACCGGCCACAUUGGGACUGAGAUACGGCCCAGACUCCUACGGGAGGCAGCAGUGGGGAAUAUUGCACAAUGGGCGGAAGCCUGAUGCAGCAACGCCGCGUGCGGGAUGACGGCCUUCGGGUUGUAAACCGCUUUCGCCUGUGACGAAGCGUGAGUGACGGUAAUGGGUAAAGAAGCACCGGCUAACUACGUG
RNAcentral lists this ribosomal RNA (468 nucleotides) under uncultured bacterium. RNAcentral's name for it is "partial 16S ribosomal RNA". It matches the Rfam family "Bacterial small subunit ribosomal RNA", at positions 28 to 507 of the family's 1533-position model. The record is from RNAcentral.